UACGUAGGGUGCGAACGUUGUCCGGAAUUAUUGGGCGUAAAGAGCUCGUAGGCGGUCUGUCGCGUCGGUCGUGAAAACCUGCAGCUUAACUGUGGGCGUGCGGUCGAUACGGGCAUGACUGGAGUUCGGCAGGGGAGACUGGAAUUCCUGGUGUAGCGGUGAAAUGCGCAGAUAUCAGGAGGAACACCGGUGGCGAAGGCGGGUCUCUGGGCCGAUACUGACGCUGAGGAGCGAAAGCGUGGGGAGCAAACAGG
This 254-nucleotide ribosomal RNA is filed under the name uncultured bacterium. RNAcentral's name for it is "partial 16S ribosomal RNA". It matches the Rfam family "Bacterial small subunit ribosomal RNA", at positions 524 to 776 of the family's 1533-position model. The record is from RNAcentral.